CUAAAAUUUAUUAGCCUAUUUUGGUCGGAUUUCUGCGAGCACAUGCUGUUUUAGCCUGUUUUGGUCCUUUUAGACCUUUGUAUUCUGCGCGCCUUCACUUUCAUCUGGUGAACUGGAUUACCUUCCCUCUCGAAUCCAGUUACAAGAGAGAUCGACAUUAAAAGGAACCUCAAGCUUUGUAUUUCAACAGGACCUUUAUAAACGAAUAACUUAAGUCGGCUAGAUUUCCUGAUGUGAAAACGAAGAACCAACAGAAACGGAUAUAAUGGGGCAUAAUGCUGGUCGCACACCAUUCAUAGACAUCUCAAACACAAGCAUUAUAGGUGAUCAAAAUGGAUCAAACUCGCUUGUACCAAUAGUCGAUGCUAAUGAAUGUAAGAGGCAAAGGGAUAAGGAAAGAUAUGCCACGAUGUCCAUUGAACAAAAGAAUGAGAAAAAUAGGAAGCGCCGUGAAGCACGUCAACGAAAUAAAGCACUACCCCUAAAGUCCGAGUCAUCUAGAGAAGACAUUAAUACGAAUCAGACACGUGAGACGGUUAACGUUGAAAUAAGUCGAGAUGUGCAUCUUGGUUCAGGUCCUAUUAAAAACACUCCAUCGCCUGGUAAUUCUAUCGAACGAAAGAGGCAAAGGGAUAGAGAAAGGCGUGCAACAAUGUCGGUUGAACAAAGGAAUGAGUACAAUAACAAGCGUCGUCAAAUGCGUCAACGAAAUAAGGGACAAAAUGUGAUGCCCAAUGUUUCAGGAUAUGGCGACAAAAAAGUAAACGUGGAUCCAGAUGAUGAUAGCGACUGGCUGCAUCGGAACGAGACAUUCCAGUCAAACGACUAUGUCGCAACGACGGACCUUCUGCCACCAGGCAGUGUGCAUGAAUCUGUUGGUGUCAUUGGGGAACCAGGUAUCAGCUUGAGGGAGUAUAGGCUUCAACGCCUUAGGUUGUAUAAUCAGACACCAAAGAGGAAAGAGGCAAAGAUAGAGUACAUGAGAAAACGUAGAGUAGUACAGGCUGACACUUUGAAUGUUGCGUCCAUCGCCAUGGAGGACCCAACAUAUACCCCUGAGGUUGUGCACCCUGCAACGGAACCUUCAACAGUUACCGCCUGCGACUGGGUUAUCCCUGAAUUCGUUAGGACACCUUUCCUACCAGCUCAAACACAGACCGAGGAUGUCGGUUCAUUCGAUAUGUCUACUGAAGCAAUAAGACGUAAACAUCAUGUGCCGCGUGGGGAAAGACAAGCUAUCUUAGCCCGUCGAAACCAGCAAUUUCAAGCAUCCAUUGCAAGAAACGUGACUACUUUGAAUGGGGAUACUAUCGGUGACGCCAACAACAAUGCACAAUGUAGCGUUCCAUGCCAAGUCGCUACAUUGCCAACAAAUGGAAGUGAAGGCAUAACCGAACAAGAAAGUGAGGUGGAGCAUACACAAGAGAAGCCAAGGGUCAUUUCAAAUUAUGAUGAUGAUGAUGAUGAGGCUGUUAUAUUCGGAGAAGAUGAUGACGACGACGAGGGAUACAUAUUCGCUGGCCAAUGUACUUAUGUCAAUUUUUAUUAUGAUUAUGAUACCAAGGCUUGUAUAAAUACACAUGUUUUAGUCGUUGUUUUCCAAACACUAUUAGAUGAGGAGACUGACGAGGACAUCGAAAUCGAUGGUACUCAAGGUGAAUCUACUGGCAUUGAUGUGCCUGACCCAUACGACAAGGUAUACAGUAACCUCCCUGAAGAAACACAUAUGCUGAAGCCUGUUCCUGACUGCG
This 1751-nucleotide unclassified non-coding RNA is filed under the name Zea mays. RNAcentral describes it as "misc RNA Zm00001eb406110". Lineage: Eukaryota; Viridiplantae; Streptophyta; Magnoliopsida; Poales; Poaceae. The record is from RNAcentral.